UGGGGAAUUUUGGACAAUGGGCGCAAGCCUGAUCCAGCCAUCCCGCGUGUGCGAUGAAGGCCUUCGGGUUGUAAAGCACUUUUGGCAGGAAAGAAACGGCGCUGGUUAAUACCUGGCGCAACUGACGGUACCUGCAGAAUAAGCACCGGCUAACUACGUGCCAGCAGCCGCGGUAAUACGUAGGGUGCAAGCGUUAAUCGGAAUUACUGGGCGUAAAGCGUGCGCAGGCGGUUCGGAAAGAAAGAUGUGAAAUCCCAGGGCUUAACCUUGGAACUGCAUUUUUAACUACCGGGCUAGAGUGUGUCAGAGGGAGGUGGAAUUCCGCGUGUAGCAGUGAAAUGCGUAGAUAUGCGGAGGAACACCGAUGGCGAAGGCAGCCUCCUGGGAUAACACUGACGCUCAUGCACGAAAGCGUGGGGAGCAAA
RNAcentral lists this ribosomal RNA (425 nucleotides) under uncultured bacterium. RNAcentral describes it as "bacterial SSU rRNA". It matches the Rfam family "Bacterial small subunit ribosomal RNA", at positions 355 to 772 of the family's 1533-position model. The record is from RNAcentral.